This 35820-nucleotide long non-coding RNA is filed under the name Jatropha curcas. Its description in RNAcentral is "long non-coding RNA (JCUR_LNC002385)". The record is from RNAcentral. Lineage: Eukaryota; Viridiplantae; Streptophyta; Magnoliopsida; Malpighiales; Euphorbiaceae.
AAAUGAAAAAAAAAAUAAAACUAAAAAUUUUACAAAAUUUACAUAUAUUUUUAAAAUUUAUAAAUUUAUAAUUUUUGUAAAAAGUACAAUUUUAAAUUGAAAUAACAAAAUGAAAUUUAGUGGUUCUCUUUCUCUCCUGCAUGAUAAAAUGAUAUUGUUUUUUUUUUUUUUUUUUAAAAAAAAAAAAGAAAGUGAAUGCUAAAUUUAAGGCGGAACACAAAUAGAUGAUUCCAAAAGACACAAACACACUACCACUAUCUUUUCCGUGACCAAUAACAGACAGUCACGUAUUCAUGUGCCAAUCAGACGUAUGUCCUAAUCCAUCUUCUUCGCCUAUUUAAAGACAAAGGUCCUCUGUGUUCUGUGUUUAAAGAUGUCCCUUCGCUAAAUCAAAAGGCCGAGAUUUCGGCUCUAUAAAACUCGGAUAUUUCGCGACAUUUCGUUUCCUACGGUGUAAUGGCAAUGGCUGGCUAUGGGCUAUUGAAGAUCGAUGAAGGAGAGCUAAAGAGCAAUCGAAGAACAUCGCGUCUCGCUUCUCUUGAUGUCUUUCGCGGCAUCUCCAUUCUUGUGAGCUUUCUUUAGCUUUUCUUGUUUUCUUUUAAUUUAUGCCACGUUUUUGAUUGGUUGCUGAGAAAAUGCCAGAAAAUGAACCGCCGCAUGAAAAUAAUUCAAUGGAAAUUAAGCCAAAAAAAAAAAAAAAAAAGCUUCAUUUUCAGGUUUUAUUUCUCUUUGGCCUCUGUUUCCAUAUUUUUGUUAAUUUUAUGUUUUUGUUUUUUCUUUUAUUUAAAUAUUUUAAACAAACAUACAAAAAAGAACAGAGUUCAUCAUAUGAAAAAAAAAAAAAAAAUCUCAUUGAGUAUAAAUUUUUUUAAAAUAAUUUAAUAAUAUUUAUAUGAUGAGAUCCACUCCACCCUAUAUGAAAAUAAUCCACAUCAAUCUGAUCUGAAUAUGAAUUACUGGGUAUAAAAAUCAUAAAAUUUGAUUUUUAUUAUUUUUUUAUAAUAUUUUUGAAUAUAUAAUUUUUUACAAUUGUAUAAUAAUUAUAAAAACUAAAACAAUAAAUAUAUCCUAAAUUAAUUUAUUAGCGCUGUCCAACCACUUUUCAAAAUAGACUGAGUGCAGGAAUGUCCAACCGAAGCUUACCUUUCGUCCAAUCAACUUGUUAGUGGAUGAGAAAAGCAAACAUACGUUGCGUGCGUGCAUUUCGUAUAAUGCGCAAUGCAUAGCAUAAUUCGUUUGCUCUUUACGCAAUCUUUCUGACGUCAAAGUAACCUUCAGUUUUUGCAAACUGUCCGAAAAAAGCAUAGAAAUGCUCAUGGAAAAAAAUAUUUAUAUAUCUCCUUUCAAAUUGAAGACUUUUAAAAAAAUUCCAUAAAAUUUUGAUAAAUACUAUGAAUUUUAAUAUUCUCAAUCUGAAACUUUUUAUAAAAAAAAGAGAGAGAAAAAUUUGAAAUGACUUUCUGCUUUUCAAAAAUAUUCUGAUGUAUAUAAAUAUUUUGUUUUAUUAUUCAAACGAUAAUCUAUAUUUAAAUACAGCAAAUGAUUUCAGUAAAUUUAAAAUUUAAUCUAUAGAAGAACAUUUAUAAAAAAGAAAAAAAAGAAAAGUACAGGUUUUCAAAUGGCCCAACUCACACAUUAAUGGACUAAAUUUGAGAAACUGCACUUUGUACUUCAUAAUUUAUUUAUAGGCCCACCAACAGACCCCCAUACUUUAAUGCACACGUACGGUCUUAAUUGUUUCUCGGAAGUUACUUCAAUUAAUGAAUCGAAUAACAAUUCAAUAAAAUAUAAAAUAAUAUUAUUAUUAUGAAUAACAAGUCAAUAAAAAUAAGACACUUGUCAAAAGUGAUAUAUAAAUAAGAUUUAAUUAAUUCAUUAUUUCCAUCUCUAUUUCAUUUUAUUUUCAGUUUGCAUUAUUAUAUAUGAUAAGUGUCUUAUUUUUUAAAAAUUGUCGUUCCAACAUAUAAUGGUGACAUGGCAUCGGUGUUUUAUUAUAUAAUCAUUCAGAUCAUCAUCCUUAAAUUAUUUGAUCAUUUCAUAAAAAUUAUUAUUUUAUUAAUCAGUAAGUAUUAAUAAAAAGGUAAAAAUAUCCCUUAUUUUUUUAAAACAAUAUCCUUUAAAAUACUAUCUAAUCAUUCAUAUUUAAUAAUGUGAUCAUAUUAAUUUAACAAUAAAGGCAUGCGUUUUGGAUUGAGUUGUGGUUGAUUUAGUGAAUUUUUAAUUUAGGAACCAACCAAAGAAAGAGUUUAAUAAUUAAGAGAAAUUUCAAUCAUUAAAUAACAGUUCUCUAAGAAAAGUAUUCAUCUUAGUUGGUUUUUAGGAGUGUCAAAAUGGGUUUGCAGAUAGAUUUCGACAUAAACUCAUCUACCAUGCGACAUGAUUAGAAUCAACAUAAACACGAUCUGUUUAAUAAUUAUGCAAAAUUUUUAAAUAUAAACACAAAAUGCAAAUUAAAUGAAUGACACGAAUAUGACAUUUAUAAUCUGUUUAAUUAAAUAGAUCAUAUAUGAAUCCAAAAAUUCAACCAAACUUAAUUAAAUGAGUCAAAUACGGGUUAGAACAUAACACGUAUGCAUAUACAAUAUACUUAAUAUAUAUAUUAUAUAUAUUUUAAAUGGAUUAUACAUAUCGUGUUAUCACUCGUAUACGAGUGACUCAUAUAUAUAUAUAUUUGAGUCACUCGUAUACGGGUGAUAACACGAUAUGUAUAAUUCACUUAAAAUAUAUAUAAAUCACUUAUAUACAGAUCAAAACAUGACAUGUAUACAUGUAUAAUUCACUUAAUAUAUAUAUUUAUCGUAUUAUAUAUAAAUCACUAGUGUAUGCACGAAUUUAUUUGGGCUCAACUUUAUCGUGAUUAAUUUCUCUGUUAGGCAAAUCUAAUUUAUGCGUGUGAUAGCUGAUUUUAACAUCUCUACUUUUUAGAUUGCUUCAAUCAAUCAAAACCACAUAAUAUUUCCGUUUGAUUUUAUCGGAAGCAGGUUGGCAAGUGGACCCACAUAAUGUGUGGUGGUGGUCCAUAUGCUCUAAACGCUGGAUGGGACUUGGCUAUAACUGGUGUUAAUUUCUUGAUAUCUUUAAAAAAGAUUCCACGAUUGUUCUUAUACCCAGUGGCAAACAACAGUUACAUUACUCCUGCUGAACCCAAAACCUUACUACACUUCGUAUCUUACUAAAACAAAUUCUCUUUUGACCGCUUUAAAACGGACAGCACGCUCAGUACACACAGUCAAAAGGGCUACCCGCCACCCAGCCCUUUCCUUCCUUCGUCUUCUUCUCUGCAAAAGAAAAAACGCCAAACUUAUAAUAAUCAAAGCUACAAUAUUAAUCUUCCCUUAUACUUAUUCUCUUUCUUUCUUGUUUCUCAUUCUUUUCUCUCUCCUUAUAAAAUGGCUGACUUAGAAGUGCCUUUGCUGCUGCUGCAAUCGCCGCUCUCCGAUAACAAGCCCACGCGUGUUGCUUCUCUCGACGUCUUUCGCGGCCUCUGCGUCUUUGUAACUCUCCCUACUUACCUUUCGCUUUCUCGUCUUCGUUCUUCAGAUUCUCGUCCGAAUUACGUUUUACGGUUUCUUCUUCCUCAAUUUUCAACGUUUUUAUUAUUAUUAUAAGCAUUAUUUUAGUGCCUGAGCUGUUUGGUUUAAAUUUUAGGACUGUUUGGUUUAAAUUUUAGGAAAGAAAAGUUAGUUUUAACAAAAUUUCUAGCGUAACUUGUUUGUCUCAGAACCGAAAAAGUUGUUUAUGUUUGUUAUCAAUUUGGUGGCUACAGCUAAUGAUGAUUGUGGAUUAUCUGGGAUCGAUUUUUCCGAUCAUUGCUCAUUCUCCAUGGAAUGGCCUUCGCUUGGCGGAUUUUGUGAUGCCUUUCUUUCUUUUCAUAGCCGGAGUUUCUCUUGCACUUGUUUAUAAGGUAAGUAUACUACUAUAAUUAUUAUUACUUCAAAAGAAAUGCAUGUUUGCUUUAAUUAGGGAUUUUUAUAUUCUAAUUCUGUUUUAUGAAUAGAAAAUUGUUGAUUUUGACAAUUCAACGCAUUUUGUUAAUUAUCACUUCUGAUUCACUUGCUAAUUUUAUUUGGUUAAUAUUGGCUUUUAAUCUGAAAGUUCUGUUUUUAUCAGAAAGUAUCAGACAGAGUAGAUGCUACAUGGAAGGCAGUACUUAAGGCAGCAAAAUUGUUUUUCUUGGGUGUUUUUCUUCAAGGUGACACUGUCAGACAAUUGAAUUAUUGUUGUGGAUUUUAUAGCAGUAUAUAUCUAUAAUACUAUCGGGACAUACAUUUAAUUAGCAUACAUUUGUUAAAUUGUUCAUUUUUUUUCAGGUGGUUAUUUUCAUGGGAUAAAUUCAUUGGCUUAUGGUGUUGACAUCGAAAGAAUACGUUGGCUUGGCAUUCUGCAGGUACUCAAAAAUUUCUUUCUCCAUGUAUUAAUAUUUCCUUCCUCAAUACCCUUAUGCCAUGUUCGGAAAAUUAACUGUUUAUCUAUCCUAAUAGCUAUACUAAAGUAAUAUUGUUUCAUAAUACAUUCACUCAAACUCUAAGGUCAUCGAAUAGUAUUUCAAUAUUUAUUAAAACGCUAAAAGCUACAUAAAAAGUUAUCGUUGAACGGCCCUUACACCACAUGUCUAAAUUUUCACGAGUACAGAUUAAGUGAUUGUCAUUAAAGUAGGAUUAAAAGUUUCCUUCUUAAUUACAUAAACCGUAGUCCAGUGUCAUUGUUCAUUUACGUUAGUCCUAUACAUUGUUAAACUUGUUUUUGUUGUCAUUCAAGCCAGAGAAUAUCUAUUGGCUACAUUGUUGCGGCUUUAUGUGAGAUUUGGCUUUCAUCUCGACCGAUAAGAGAAAUAGGUUUCUUCAAGCCUUAUUAUUGGCAUUGGUAAGGUUUUGAUAUCUUGCAUUGGCCUUUAUAUUAUUAAACUUCAAGCAUAAUUGACAUCGUAAAAGUGUUAUGUUUAACAAUUGUAAUGUGACUUCAAUUCUUGAUUCUAUUUCACGAAAUGGCUUAAGUAACAAUACUCAUUUAUUUUCCCUCUCUCACUUGGGCCUAAUAAGCAGGAUUUUUAAUAAAUAUUUGCCUGAUUAACACACCAUUAACUCAGAUCCUUGAACAUGUAAUACAUAGAUCAACAUUCAAUUGAUAUCUUAAAAUACUAAUCAGAUGGUGAGUAUGAGCUUAAUGGAUUGAAUUGCAAUUUUUUUUUUUUUUUAAUUUUUUGGCUUUCUUUUCUCAAUUUAUUGAUGAAGCAAAAUUUUCAGGGUUUUGGCAUUUUCAUUGUGUGCAAUUUAUACGGGAUUAUUACACGGUCUCUACGUUCCAGAUUGGCAAUUUGAAAUCUCCAAUUCAACUUCUUCUGUUCUUCCAAACAAUGGCAGUUAUGUUUACUUGGUGAGAGUUUACUGAAACCUUUUUCUUUUGCUAUUAUUAUUAUUUUUUUUUUUUUUAUGCCUGUGAUUGUGUGCAUGUAUGUGAGGGUGCAUAUAGAAAUUAAAUUCAUGGAGAACAGAACCACUAGAGAAUGCUUGUCAUUAUCUAAAUUUUGUUUGCUACAAUUUUGACCAUGUUAUGAGCGCCUUGAAGCAUUUAUCUCUGGAACUAGAACUUCUAAUGUAGAUUUCUACUAGAAUUCGUCACCUUUCUAUGAAGAGCAAGUUAAUUUGCCAACACCAUAUUAUUUCAUCGUCCAAAUACUCGACUAAAACAUCAUUAGAGGAGAGAUGUGUUUUUGAAGUACAUUUUACAUACGUAAGUCAAUACAGUCAUUGCGCAUGCAUUUUCUGCUAGUAUUAUCCUUUCAAAAUGAAGUUAAAAUUUUUAUUGCUUGACGUUUGAAGUCAUGAAUUUGAAUACAUUCUUCAUAUUUUUCACAGGUGAGCUGCUCUGUAAGAGGCGAUCUUGGACCUGCUUGUAAUUCAGCUGGAAUGAUCGAUCGCUAUGUUCUUGGUAUUGAUCAUCUCUAUACAAAACCCGUCUAUAGAAAUCUGAAGGUAUUCUAUAUUGAUCUUUUUAUGGUGGUCUUUAUCCAUCCAUAUGCAAUGUAUUGAUCCCUAACAAAAAUCUCAACUUAUAGGAAUGCAAUAUGACAAAUGGCCAAGUUUCAGAGAAUUCACCUUCAUGGUGUCAUGCUCCUUAUGAUCCUGAAGGUCUAAUAAGGUAGUUGAAAUGCAUAUCAAUAAGCUACUUAUUCAAUUAAGUUGAUCAAUAGAAUCAUGAAGAGGCAAGUGACCUGUUUUUUUUCUGUUGAAUGGUAGUUGGCAAACGUUUUUUGAAGUUCAACAAGCCAAGUGGAAGAUUUAGGAGAGUCAAAGUUGAGAUAUUAUCGAAUAAUAUAUAAUAUGAAUCAAACGUACAUAGACAGAUUAUCAAAAUCGAAGUCUAGAAAGUAGGAGGAUGUCAAAAGAUGAUAAUUUUCUACUAAACAUAAUUACACAUCAAUAUGAGUCGCAUACUAUUCAGUCUUAUUUUUGACAAUUAGGUAACGCGCUAAAAUUUAUUGUGCCUACAGUUCCUUGACGGCUGCAGUUACCUGCAUUAUUGGACUUCAAUUCGGCCAUGUCCUUGCUCACGUAAAGGUGAUAUCAUAUGCAUUCUUUACUCUCCCCGUGAAUUUUCUUUUCUUAUCUUUUUCACCUGUAGUUAUUUAUGGUCACUGUCGUAUAGGAGAUUUAUAAUGAUGUGCAAAAGCAUUCUGCUUUGAGCUACAUGCUACUGCUAUUUCACGUACUAUAGAACAAUCACCAUUUUGGUAAUUGCUUGUCAAGCUUAUUGACGUUACUUGUUACACAUGCUUUUCAGGACCACAAAGGGCGGGUGGAAUGUUGGUCUUUCUUCUCAUUUUCACUUCUUCUACUUGGAUCAUCCCUCGCCUUCGUAGGUAUGCUCGUCAACAGCGCAUAACUUUUGCCUUCAAUAAGUACCUAUCGACACAUUUUUGUUAUGAAGAUAGAUAACACUUGUUGCUAUAGAAAACAUUCCAUCCUCAAAAGUAAAGCAAGGUGCUCUACUAAUAAGAACAAAUUGAUCUCCCCCAAUUUGUUCAUUUUAGCAAUCAAUUUUAGGUUCUUAGUAAAUACAUAUUGAAAGCAAAUCUUUGAUCUUCCCCUUUUGUUUUGCAGGCAUCCCCGUGAAUAAAUCUCUCUAUACAAUUAGUUAUAUGCUUAUUACUUCUGCUUUGGCAGGAAUCACAUUCUCAGUUUUGUACUUGGUGGUGAGUCAAUUCUACCUACUAUUGGAAGCAAAGCAUAAUCUUUAGCAGCUUCUUAGAUUUUCCAAGAAAUAUAUACUUGUCAGAUUUGACUUAAAAAUCUAAUUUGGUUGCUCUUGCAAAGAAGCCAACUGAAGCAUAAACCACGAGACCAUGAAAACCCUACUCUAUACUUACUGAAAAUUGAAGCAAAAGAUUAUUUUCAUCUUUCUUAACUCUGAAUCAUCACAACUUAAAAUCCCUCAAACCAAAUAUACUCCUCGUUCCUACUAUUUGACAUUUUUAUCUCUUUUUCUUACUGUUUAUAUACUGCCUGCUGUAGGUAGAUGUAUAUGGUUACAGAUGGGUGUCAUUACCGUUGGAGUGGAUGGGAAGGCAUUCCUUGAGUAUCUUUGUCCUUCUAACAUCUAACUUAAUUAUUAUUGCAAUUCAAGGAUUCUACUGGUCUAAGCCUGAAAACAACAUAGUGAGUGUUUAGAAGAUCUACUGCUUUUUAUUCACUUGCUACUAAUAUGUAAAUCCAAAGACAGCUAACACCACAUUUUUUUUCUUGUUGCCUCACUUUUUUAACAGAUUCACCAGAUUGUCGCAUCCUUCGUGCACAGAUGAUACAUAUGGUCAUUGGGUCGAAUUACAUGGUUAGAGAUUUUGAAUCUUGCUUUUAAGAUAGGGUAAAACACUGAAUUCUCUAGCCAAUCUCUCUUUUCAGACCACAUUUUAUAAUAGUGUUUUGGGAAAUCAAGGACAUAUUAUUAGUACCUAGUGAAUCUUUUUACUUUUCCCCCUCUAUAUACAAAAUGAAAGUGAUAUAUAUAAAAAUGUAUAAGCUUUAGACUAGCAAGAGCCAUUGACUGAGUACGAGGGAAAGUGAUAUUUAUAAAAAUGGGUAAGCCCUUAGACCAGCAAAGAGGUCUUUUGAGGGUGAUGGAUCAUCCAUUACCCUCGAGAACAAAACUGUGCAGACUGGAUCCAAAGCGGACAAUAUCUUGCUAGGCCUAAAAUGCCAUAUAUAAUGAGUAAAAUCACUUAACUUCUAAUAAAAUGAUUAAAUAGUUGAUGUUUUCAUACUAUAGAAACUAAAUAAUUUCUUCCAAAAAUAGAAUAACUUACGGGAUAAUGGUAAUAUUUACCCCUCUACUUACCUCUACUUACGGGAUAAUGGUAAUAUUCAGGUUUACAGAUUCAAGUGGCAGGACAAAUUCAAGCUUGAGUUAAUGUUCAAAUUAACACUCUCCUGAGGCCACUAAGAGGUUCAGCGAACACAAGGUCGCGAAGCAAUCCAAAUUCCGCAAUUGUCCAGUGUUUUUGCAUGAAAUGCGGCUCUCAGCUGUCAAGGCUUGUGCCUUGUUCUUGACAAGAGUUAUAACAUGCUCUAGACAAUAUUGUAGUCUUAUUCAAUUUUAAAUCAAUCAAGGGAAGCAAUGAAACAAUUUUAUGCAAAUUAUAUUACACUUUCCAAUUUAUGACUUGGUCUGAGGCAGAUAUUGAAUCAUGCCAAUAAAAAAAAAAUUUAAAAAAAAAAAAAAAAAAAAAAAAAAAAAAAAAAAAAAUACUGCCUGCUGUAGGUAGAUGUAUAUGGUUACAGAUGGGUGUCAUUACCGUUGGAGUGGAUGGGAAGGCAUUCCUUGAGUAUCUUUGUCCUUCUAACAUCUAACUUAAUUAUUAUUGCAAUUCAAGGAUUCUACUGGUCUAAGCCUGAAAACAACAUAGUGAGUGUUUAGAAGAUCUACUGCUUUUUAUUCACUUGCUACUAAUAUGUAAAUCCAAAGACAGCUAACACCACAUUUUUUUUCUUGUUGCCUCACUUUUUUAACAGAUUCACCAGAUUGUCGCAUCCUUCGUGCACAGAUGAUACAUAUGGUCAUUGGGUCGAAUUACAUGGUUAGAGAUUUUGAAUCUUGCUUUUAAGAUAGGGUAAAACACUGAAUUCUCUAGCCAAUCUCUCUUUUCAGACCACAUUUUAUAAUAGUGUUUUGGGAAAUCAAGGACAUAUUAUUAGUACCUAGUGAAUCUUUUUACUUUUCCCCCUCUAUAUACAAAAUGAAAGUGAUAUAUAUAAAAAUGUAUAAGCUUUAGACUAGCAAGAGCCAUUGACUGAGUACGAGGGAAAGUGAUAUUUAUAAAAAUGGGUAAGCCCUUAGACCAGCAAAGAGGUCUUUUGAGGGUGAUGGAUCAUCCAUUACCCUCGAGAACAAAACUGUGCAGACUGGAUCCAAAGCGGACAAUAUCUUGCUAGGCCUAAAAUGCCAUAUAUAAUGAGUAAAAUCACUUAACUUCUAAUAAAAUGAUUAAAUAGUUGAUGUUUUCAUACUAUAGAAACUAAAUAAUUUCUUCCAAAAAUAGAAUAACUUACGGGAUAAUGGUAAUAUUUACCCCUCUACUUACCUCUACUUACGGGAUAAUGGUAAUAUUCAGGUUUACAGAUUCAAGUGGCAGGACAAAUUCAAGCUUGAGUUAAUGUUCAAAUUAACACUCUCCUGAGGCCACUAAGAGGUUCAGCGAACACAAGGUCGCGAAGCAAUCCAAAUUCCGCAAUUGUCCAGUGUUUUUGCAUGAAAUGCGGCUCUCAGCUGUCAAGGCUUGUGCCUUGUUCUUGACAAGAGUUAUAACAUGCUCUAGACAAUAUUGUAGUCUUAUUCAAUUUUAAAUCAAUCAAGGGAAGCAAUGAAACAAUUUUAUGCAAAUUAUAUUACACUUUCCAAUUUAUGACUUGGUCUGAGGCAGAUAUUGAAUCAUGCCAAUAAAAAAAAAAUUAAAAAAAAAAAAAAAAAAAAAAAAAAAAAAAAAAAAAACACUAGAAAAGCUCUAAUAUUCGAGAAUCUCAUCGUAAAGCAAUAGUAUGAUUUACACAUUCACCCAAUACUCAGGGUUGUUAAAAUUGUGAACAUAUUUAAAUAAAUAUGAAUUUGGAUUGUAAUUAUAUCUAUUUUUAAGUGUAAUCCUUAACAUAUUUUAAAAACAAGGUGAUGUAAUUUACAUAACAUACCAGGAUCAUUAAUGUUUAAUAAUAAUUUGUUUCUCUAAUCCUCAAAUAGGACAUACCUCGGAAGCACAAGCAAUGCAAGGUACCAAAGAUGUCAAAACCAACUUGAAAUCCUGUGUGGUUUCAAAUGUUCGCAAUUCAUCAAUCAACGAGCUGCUACUUCAGUUGAUAGGAACUGCUUCCUAUCAAUAAAGAUUUAUGUUUGUUUAGAACUGAAACUCUCCUUUUCAAAUAACUCUUAACGAUAGAAAAGAUACCAACUCAAAUUUUAAGUUACCUUCGUGCAAGAAUUUCUCUGUUGAUCAAAUAAUGAGAGGCCUUAUCCAACACUGGGCAGAGACUUGACUACAAGUAACAUCAAUAGCAAUCUUGCAGUUUCCAGCUACAAAUUCAACUUGAGAUAUAAAAAGAUGCAGAUGCAUUAUAUUCUCACUUCCCAGGGAGGUCACUCCACAUCUGCCUAGCAAAGCAGCUCAUCUGUGCUAGUUGCUCACGAUUGGCUUGUAAAAUGCACCAUAUGCUACAAUCACAACAAACUUCUCUGUGCGGCUUGGGAUAGAUCAUAGUAAGUUUCUGUGUGAACGCUUCAACCUAAUAUGAAGGACAAAGAAAUCAAAAUGCAAACAUUAGAAAAUAUGCUUAAAAAACAAGUGAACAAUAGAUAUGAAGAAAACUCAAAUCCCAAGUCUCCAACGAAAUGAUUUUGUGAACUCAGACUAAACUUUCUUCAUAUCUAACAACAUAUUAGAUAUGAAGAAAGUUUAGUGAGUUGUAAUUUCCUGGCACUCUAUGUGAUUCUCCAAUCCAUUGUCUCUAGUUAACUGUGUCAUUUCGAACUAAUCCACCACUUUGUAAAGCUUGUUGAUAAAGUUCAUGCAACUUAAUUGAUGUAUUGAUCAGCAUAGCCAUUAUCGUCCCAAGCAUACUAAUUCAGGUAUUUAACCAAUCCUACCAAAGAACUAACAUAAUUGAUGAGAAACCCAAUUACGAAAAUGAUUAUGCAAUAUCAUUCAUGCAAUCUUUACUAUUUCAAUAUUGAUAACCAAUAAAUAUUCCUCCAUUUAAAUUGAAAAUUAAAUUAAAUGAUAAAAUAAGGGCAAAAUCAAGGAGUUCACAUGCAGCACUUGAUGUUGAGAUCGUGUUUUGGGGAGUUUGAGCUAAAGAUUGAUAAGGACAGAGACAAGACCUACAUACCGCCGCAUAAUCAUCAACACUAGGAGGAAUCUACCCAGCUAACUGCUGCUUCUUUCUUGAUAUUAUUCCUUUCCAUUAUUACUCUUAUUUCUGAUGCAUUUUCCCAUUGUCCCAUAUCGGCAUACAUGUUGUAUAACAAGACAUAUGGAACUGAGCUAUCUGGUUCGAGUUUCAUUAAUGCUUCAGCAGCAAUACGGGCAAUCUCUGCAUUGUUAUGGACCCUAGAAGCACCCAAUAAUGCACCCCAAACAGCCUUAUCUGGCUUAAAUGGCAUGCCAUUGAUCAAAUCCAAGGCCUCUUCAAGCUGUCCAUGCCGACCCACAAUGUCAACUAGGGAAGAGAAGUGUUCAAUCCUUGGCUCGAUGCCAUAUUCACUAACCAUGGAUUUAAAUAUCCCUCGACCUUCUUCAACCAGUCCAGCAUAAGCACAGGCAUUCAGAGCAGAAAUAAAUGUUAUAUAAGUAGGCUGCACUUUGGAAAUUCUCAUUAAUUUGAAAAGUUCCAAGGCCUCUGCAGCAUAACCAUGGGAUGCAUAUCCUCCAAUCAUUGCAUUCCAAGAAAUUACUUCUUUAUGCGGUUUCAUUUCAUCAAAAAUGGUCCAUGCCUCAAUUAUUGCCCCACAUCUUGAGUACAUCGUGAUGAGGGCAUUAUUCAAUGGCACAUCUGGGAUAACUGUCUUUCUGACCAGCUGAUGAAUCUGCAUACCCAAGUGCAGAUCCACAAUUCCAGAAGAUGCACUGAGAAGCGAAGAUAAUGUGUGUCGGUCAGGUUUCUCUCCUUCAACUUGCAUCCGAAAGAAGACCUUAAUUGCUCCUUUAUAAUCCUCCUUCUUCUCAUGCCCCGCAAUCAUGGAAUUCCACGACACCAAAUUCUUCUGGGGCAUCCUCUCAAAAAACUCAUGAGCAAGUUCCAAAUUACCUACCAGGGCAUGUCCUGAUAUCAUUGAAUUCCAUGAAAAGGAAUCAGGAUUUGGCAUUUUGCAAAAGAGGUUUGACGCCUCCUCCAUAUCUGAGACAUGAACAUAUCCACUAAUGAUGGUAUUCCAUGAAAAAGUGUCUAGUACAAUCAUUUGGUCAAAGAGUUCCCUAGCAGAAACAAUAUCUCCAGCCUUCACAUAGCACAUUAUCAUGGUAUUCCAUGACACCACAUUUCUCUCAAACCUCCCUUUACUUCCUUUUUGUUUGUCAUUAUUACUUGGCAUCUUAUCAAAAAGUUUCCGAGCUUCAUCCACCCUUCCUCUUUGACCAUAUCCCGCAAUCAAAGUAUUAUAAGCAUGCACCAACUCCUCUUUCCCACUAUUAUUAUUUCCAUAGUCAAGCAAAAUUUUUGCAGCUUCCUCAAGCUUCUCAUUAUGAAUAAGACCCGAUACAAGUGCACUCAACGAUGUUGAAUCCCUCUCUGGCAUUCUCUCAAAAAACUCAAUUGCACGCGCCACAUCACCAUUUUGCAAAAAACCAGAAACUAUAGCAUUCCAAGAAACAGCAUUUGGCUUAGGCAUUGUAUUAAAAAGCUGCAGAGCCUCCUCUAUUCUCCCAUUCCUUGCAUACCCACUAAUCAUUGUGUUCCAAGAAACGCAGUCCCUCUUUGGCAUUUUAUCAAACAAGCACCUUCCCUCCUCUAUAAACCUCUUCCCACGACAUGACACAUACCCCGAAAUCAUCAAAUUCCACGACACAACAUCCCUCUUUGGCAUUUCAUCAAAAAGCUUUCUUGCUUUAGUCAUCUCACCCUGUCUCGCAUACCCACUGAUCAUUGAGUUCCAUGAGAUGGUGUUUCUUUGCUCCAUUUUAUCAAACAAUGCCCUUGCAUCAUUAAUCUGACCUGUCUGGUUGAAACGCGUGAUUUUUUUAUUCAGGGAAAACAAGUCUCUGUCGCAAUCAUUAAAUGAACUCUUUGAUUUUGGAGCCGAUGCAAAACAGCUAGCUUCUAUGCUGAUGUAUGGCUUCCGUCUAGUCUGAAGCUUCCAUUUGCAUGAUGCGCCAAGGGCAAUUCUCAACCUGAGCAUAAUUUACAGAACAAGUUUACUGAACCUCUAAGAUUCAUUCAGCAACUGAUGAAUUAAACAAUCAAACUUUUUAUCAGAAAGUUAUUCAUUUUCUUAAUAUAUUUAGUUUUGCUCAGGUCACAUCACACGCUUGUCACACUCUUAACUUCUGAAACCAACAAAAAGAAUUAGGCGGUUUCAAAAAACGGUCAUCUAAUGGAACCUGCCAUAUUUGUCAAGCUAACUAAGAGUUUUCUUCACCUGUUCAACCUAUAAAAAUUUUUAAAACAAUUAUAAUCUACUAAAAAAAUAUUUUUUUUUUUAUAAAACUAAUAAUUGGCUAUAAAUAAAGGACAAUAUAAUUACCAAACCAGAAAUUACUAAUGCCACAGCUAGAUAUGUUAUUGACUUUUGAUUUGACAAUACUAUCUUAUAUGUAAGACGAUACUAUCCUUAUAUGUAAUAUUCUAAAUUUAUCAUUUUAUACUCUUAAAACUAUUCUUAUUAACUUCAAAUCUAUUCAUCUAUUUUUAUAUCAAUUCCAUACACAAUUUUUUCAUAUAGCCGACCCCCACUAGUUUGGACCUAAGGCUUGGUGGUGGUGGUUGUUUUUCCAUAUACAAUUUUUUCAAGAGAGAAAUAUUAACUUUGACAAACAUAUAAUAGCUAAACCUAAUACUUGUUUCAUCCUAUUAAUUAAUAAUGAAAAUUCGAAAAUCAGGACAACAAAAUUUAAAUGCAGAAAUAAAUAAAUAAAUAAAUAAAAUGAAAUUCUCAAGAAUACAUAUCAAACUAAAAAAUUUAAUUGUCUUCUUUAAUAAAAUAAUAAAAAAUGAACAUUAUUUUUCCCCAUUAAAUUUAUUCUUCUAAAUCCCUGAAAAUGUUAUUUUCCAGUUAACUCUGGUACCUGUUUAUAAAAUUAAAAAACAUUUCACAUGAACUAUAUAUUUUAGCUGCUUUUAAAAAUUUCACAUGACUAUACCAAAAUUUCCCUAAUCUCAGUUCCUUUGCAACCAAAACAUUUUUCCAUUCCUAUGGUUUGUUUAUUAACUGAACUAGCCAGUAUCUUACUGGUAGAUAAUUUGAUUUGGUAUAAUUUACUCAAAAAUCAAGUUGAAAAAAAAAAGCAGAACAUAUAUCCUCUCUUAUAAAAUGCUUACCGUGAGGAAAAUGAUAAAAUUACAGUCACGCAAAGAAGGCAAUACCAAAUAUGGAUUUUCUUUCUUUUCUUGCAUGUUCCCAAACAACUAAAGUGAUCUCUAGCCAUAUUUUCUCAGCCACCAAAAAAUUAGAAAAUAUAAUUACAGAAUUCUUAAUAUGCAAUUCGCAAAGUAAAACAAAUUAAAGAAGAGCUAAAAAAUGAAAAAGAAGGAUUGCUCACAUAGAUGUUGACAGUGAACUAAGUCGCUGCAGGACUGCACCUGCCAACAUAUUGAAUGGUGGUCAAAGACCGCUUUUGCUUCCUCCCAUUUUGAUUACUGCACAAAAAAUACCGGCAUAAAGGCUGUCAAGUAAAAGAGAUUCUCUAGAUUUCUGUCUCAGAUUCUAUAUCAAACAUGAAAAUAGAAAUUUGAGGCAAACGACAAUCAAUUUAUCUAAGAAAAGAUGAGUAAACAAAAAGUUAAAGUGAAAUGUGUCCAAUAAUGAACCUGAAUUCACAAAAUCAAAAAUAAUUGUUGCCUUCUUCCCUUCUAACUCUUCAAAAUUUCAGCUCUUUCAUUCAAAAUCUUCCCAAUCUCUUGCUAAUUCUGGAUAUUCAUGGAGUCUGGAAUCAAACGGUUAACAGAGAGGGUAGUUUCAUUUUUAUUUCAUCAAAAUUUGAUGAAAUGGAACAAAACUUGGGAUUUGGUUUGGGAAAUCACAAGGAAGUGUUGAAUUGAGAAGAAAAUAUUUAGAACUUUGAGAAGAGGACUUGGGUUGGUUUUUUGCUUAGUGACAUAAACAGGUUAGGAGGAAUGUGGCCUUUUUUUCACUCUUUUUUUGAAUGAAUUUCAAUGUUUAAGAGUAAAAGGUCAUAAAAAAAUUUAAUAAUAGUUGGACUUGUGCGGAGCUCGCCCGCAUGCAAGGUCCAACUUUAAAUAAAUAAUUAGUCAUUUAUCAGCAUAUUGUGGAUGGCAACGGGUCAGGUACACAAAAAGUGUCGUAUCCCAAUCCAAACUCACUUAAAUAUAAGGUACCUGAAUCCAUUUAAAAAAUUACCCCUGCAUUACCCAUAUUCGUCCCAAAUUGAAUUAGCAUUACCCAUUUGCAAUCCGGAUUCAUAGAAACAACCGUUUAACACAAAAUGAACAAAAUGCAUACAACACACAAUACACUAAACUGUAUAAACACUUGAUUAUUAUCGAACCCUUAUAAAAUAAAGAAAAUAGCAUGCUGUUAUUUUUACCACUCCAAUUGUCAGAAAUUGUAUGUAAUUACAUAGUUUUUACAAUUCAAAGAAACUUCAAGAAUCUACUAACUUAAUUAUAUAAUGGAGAGCAAGAAUGAAUACAUUUAAACUCCAGGUCUACGAAUAUGUGGCCUGUAAGUAUUUGGUCAAUAUAGUUUCUUGAAUCCCUGGACAAAAGAGACAGCUUAUUUGAUGAAAGUAAAAAUUAUUUAACUGCUGAAAAAGAAGAAUGCAUAAUGCAAUAAUGCAAUGUAUAGAGAAUGUAUAAUACAGUGUUGAUAUAUGGUUGUUAUUAGUUGUGUUUUCCAAUGCUUAUUUGUAGCAGUUCAUAUUAGUGAAGGUCUCACUGAUUACCUAAAUAAACCAAAUGAAAUAUAGGCAAUUUGAAUUAAUUAGUAAUCUUUAUUUCCUUGUGUAUGAGCUAAUGGAAAAUUUCUACAAAGGAGAGAGGGAGAAUAUGAAGAAUCAAUGUUAGAUUGUUGUUCCAGGAUUAGAUUUCAUUCCCAUCUGAACUUUGGCAGUCUUACAAAUCAGUUUCUAAUUUUGUGAAACUUAUGAAAAUUGUUCUGCAUGCCUACUGUAUAAAGUUUAUGCAUCUUUUGUCAGUUCAACUAAAGAAAAUAACACAUGCUGAUUUUACUUUAAAUAUUAAAUAGUAGCAUUUUUACGGAAAAGCCUUACCCUACAACCUACUGAGGAUGAUUUUGAUCAGAAGAUACAUAUUUAUUGAUCAAUCGUUUAGGUUUUUCAAUGAAAUUUUUGAAAUGCAUUUAGAAUUAAAUGCUUAACAGAAUCAUUUAGAUCUUUAGAAGUUAAGGAUUUUAAUCAACUUGCUUCAAUUUCACUCAUUUAUGUAUAAUUUUCUUGGUGUCUUUGCAAUUACAGAUACCAUCCAACACUUAAGUACAAAGAAUUCUGUACACUGGGAUGAUUCUAUUGUCAUUAAACUUGUUUUGACCGGCAUUUUAAGGAACUGAUUUUUCUAAACAAGAUUUACAAUCAGCAACAAAGAUAAAAAGAAACAAAAGAAAAGAAAUAAAAACUGCAGAAACAGGACAAGACAAAACCAGCAAAAAGAACAAAAGGAAACCAAAAACCAAAAAGAACUAAAGCGGCAAAACCAAACCAAAGAAUAAAAUAAGGCCCAAAGCAGCAGUAACAGUUUAAAAAAAAAAAAAAAAAAAAAAGAAAAAAGAAAAAAAGAGCAUAAGAAACCAAUUAACUUAGUCUAUCAUAUCAACGGCUAUUUACAUUCACAAAAUCAAACCACAUACUCAAUUUACAGUAAAGUGAAGAAAACAAAAAACGAAAUUAUUGACAGAGCUUUAACUUUAACAGUAACAAAAAUACCUUGCGAUUUGCGAGCCACAGAGCUAGUCUUGAACGAGACACAGAGCUUGUCGGCGGAGAUCGCCGCUCUUGAGGCGCGCUCGUCACUCGUCGGAUAAAAGGCAACAGGCAAAUCGAAGAUGAGAGACUAAGGCAACAAGAGAAAAAAUCAGAUCGAGGCAAAACUACUGCCUCGCGAAGAACGAAUUGAACUUUGAUUUAAAAAGUUAAUUCAAAACGACGUGGUUUGGUUAAGGCAUUUUCUGUGUCAAAACUUCGUCGUUCUGGUAGUGAAGUGUUAGUUAUUUUCUUCCUUUCUUUUUCUGGCCUAAUACAGAGAGAUAAUUAAAAUUUUAUGUAAUUCAGUUAUAAAUUUAAUUUUUAUAUCUGAUAUGCAAAAACUAAAAAUUUAAAUUUUGUGAAUUUAAUUCUAUAAUAUAAUUAAAUUAAAUUUCAUAAAAAAGUGAAAUUUUAGAAUGAAUUUCAUAAAUUUAAACAAUAUAUUUUCGCAGAUAAUAGUAGAUAAGUUCUUGAUGGGCUUAAAUCUAUGUUUCUGUAUUUUACACAACCAGCAAUUGAACAGAAAAAAAAAACAUUCGACCAUAAAAUGACAAGCAUCUAUUCCAAUCAAAAUUAUUAGUGAUCCAAGUUAUCAAAUGGGCCUCAAAUAUACACAAAGCCCAAACACAACAGAUACACACUCAUCAUCCUUAUAUUUAUUCAUCAAGUGGGCCCAAGCCAGCAGGAGGCGGUUACCAAAUGUACAAAGUUAAAUAUAUAGAGUAGAUACAACAGCUGCUAGCAUCUGCUUCUUGAAUGUUUUCACUGUAUUGAACUAUUCUACAAUACAAUUUUUGUCUCCAUUAAUACACUGUUUCAGUUUUCUCUUUCUCUGGUGAAGAAUGCUUUGAUAAUCUCAUCAGUUAGCAAACCUCAAUAAUCUUUUUUGUUGUUAAAAUUUUGAUUAACAGCCUAGCCUGAUAUGGUGGUGACAAUUCUAAAUGAAAACAUAACCAAUAAUUAAAAAAAAAAAAAAAAGAAAUAAAAAUACCUAUGCUUUUAUUGUGUUUCAGCCAUUCAUUUUGUUAAGAUUUGAUGGGAGGUUUAAAUUGAUAUAAUCUUAAAUUCAUAUAUUGAAUUGAAAAAAUUACGAAAUCAAAUCGAAGAAAAAGUAAACUUUCUUUUUAUUUGAUGCAAAUUGAAUUGCUUAGCGUGACUAAUAAACUACAGGCCCAUUUUGGCCCAUUCUCCAAAUUUUGGGCCCUCAUACUGGGCCUAAACGCACUCGUACUUUUACCCAAUUCCUCUUUGGCAAAAACCCAUAACUAUAAAUUUCCAUCUAUCUCUGGUAGGAAAAAGAUAAAAUUCCAACUAGUCCAUGAGGUUCAGCCAACUGUACAGUUUCAUCCCAAUAUUUAAAAAUAAAAGGAAUUAAGGAGUCCCAAAAUUUAAUUCCAUUAAUGAAAUAAUAUUUUUAUUUCCAUAGACCUGGUUUAGGUAGGUCUAAACCUUAUUAUAAUUAAUAUUAAUUAACCAAUAGUCAAUAAAUAUUUUUUUGAAAAAUAUAAUUCAUUAACUAUAAUAUCAAACAUUACGAAUAAUCAUAUAGAUCAGACAAUGAAUUUUACUAUCAUAAGCUAAUAGAGUUCGUUGAUCUUUUAACAAGCUAAAAUAAUUAUAUAUAUUCUUUUGAAUGAUAAUACUAAAUAUAAGAAAAUAUAAUAUUAUAUCUUUCCACUUGAAGAUGAUCUUGAUAAAAGAUAUAAAUAUUCUUAUUACCAACUAGUUUUUUAAUUGAUUUGGAUAGUAAAAUAAUAAUUACUUUGGAUCUUUUAUAUCUGAAUUGUUUUUAGCUAAAUUGUUUUUUCAAGGACUUGUAAUAUAUAACAUACACAUAUGAAUUCUCGCCAACAUACAUCAAUAGUAUCAAUAGAGGAACAAGUCGCACUAUUAGACUUCGUUGAUCAAAGAUUCACAUUUACAAAUCAAUAUCAAAAGUUUCCAACCAAAUAAAAUCAAAUAUUAUACUUUUAUUUAUAAUAAACUCUCAUACAGAAGGAACAAAAAGCUCUAAAUACGGAAACAAAAUAACAAUAAUAAAAAUCAAAACAAAUAUAUUAUAUGAUAAAUAGAUAUGAAUUUAUUAAAAUGGCUAAGAGAAUUUAAAAGAGAAAAAGAGAAGAAGUUGAAUCAAAGGAAAAAAAUAGAAUGUAGGAGAUUAUCACUAAUCAACAUCAAGCGGCCACAAACUAAAUUUUUAAACAUUUUAUAAAUUUCAAUCAAUGACUUCGUUAUUUUAGGUGUCUCGUCAUGCCGAAGAGAUAAUAAAAAAUCAAAAUUCGAAAGACUCAAGAAAGAUCAUCUUUUCACCAUUCAUAUUUAAAUAUAAUAUAUAUAACGGCAGAGCUUCUUAUGGUCGAAAGGUCGCUGGGCAAUUCUAAGAAAUUUUUUUUAAAAGAAAAAUUCUUAUGAAAUAUUAUAUUUUGGUCUUUAAAAAUAUAAAAAAAUUAUAUUUUGAUACCCUAAAAGUUUUUAAAACUUCAUUUAGCUUGUUUAAAGUAAUUGUCUUAGUUCUGUGCUGAAUAUAUAUAUAUAUAUAUAUAUAUAUAUAUAUAUAUUAAAUAUUCUAUGUAUUAUCCCUAUCACAUUUGCAUUGAUAACCAGGACAAGAAGCUUGUAGCCAAAUGUUAGAGUACUGACAACUAAUUCCCACUGUGAAAUGUUUUAUUAGCCUCUGAUCAUCAAUGAUUAAGUGGCCCACUUGUUUUAAUUUGUCCAGAACUUAUGGAAUAAUUAAUCAAGUAUUAAUAAUUAUUUUUGGAAGCGAACAUUCUAGAUAUACCUUUUUUCUCUUGUUCAGCUACUGCAACAUUUUUGUUGGAGAAUCAAGAACUUAUGGCUUAAAAUAUUCGCAUAUACUAUAUUAAGUACUCCCAUCUUCAAAAUAGUUCAUUUUCUAUUUUUACACAGAUUAAAAAAAUAAUAAUUAUUAUGAGUUUUGACAAUUCUAUUCCUAUAACUUUUCUAUCAUACCAUUUUAAAUAACAUAUGAGCAAUUAUUAUAUUUAAAUAAUAAGUAAAAAUUAAUGAGGGUUAUUGAAAAUAAGAAAAAAUUUAAUAAGGGUAUAAUAGACAAUUUCAUGAUUAACUAUAAUACAAAAAAGAAAAAUAAACCAUAUUUUAGGACAAAUUAAAAAGAAAAGAUGAAAUAUUUUUUUGAGGCAGAUCUAUUAUUCUUCUCACAAUAAUGAUUUUAUAAGUACAGUUUUUUUUUUUCUUUAUACUCAAAUGAUAUGAGAAGCUAAUUUUAUAAAAAACGAAGAUUAAUUUGUCUUUGAAUUUGUUUAAUAGGAUAAAAAAUGUCAAGAUUUGAUCUUUUUAGAUCAAUUUAACAUCUAAACUUAUUUAAAAUAAUUAAAAAGAUCAGAUUUAAUAUUUUGGAUUAAUUUAGUCCCUGACUAUUCGCUGUAUUUAUAACGUGAGAAUUCUUAUAUAGACAUUUAUUAAAAUUAUAGUUGGAAUCACGUGGUAUAAUUUAUUGAAAAAUUUAAUUAAAUAUCAAAUUGAGGAAAUAAUAUAUGAAAUAUAUUAUAUCCCUCUUUAUCUUGAUCUAUCAUUUUAAAUUCAUAAAUAUGUACUAAUUUAAAUAUUUUAAAAUUGAACUUUACUACUAGAUUAUUGCAUAUGCAGUUCAUGCAUUUCUCAUGUUAAACGAAUUCAAAGUUACACUACAUAUUUUAUAAAUUUACUGUGUUAAAGAAAUAAUAUUUUCGUGAUUUUAAAAUUCUAUUCAGAAGUAUUGGAAAAGUUUGAUCUAGAUAUUCCUAUUAAAUUGAAUCAAUUUAUUAUUUUGUAAAAAUCAAAAUAAAUUUAGUGGCUGAAUUGAUUUAAAAAAAAUCAAAUCUGACUUUUAAAUCCCAUAAAUAAGUUCGUGAGCUAAAUUAGUCUUUAUUCCAUUUUAUAACCACAAAGUCGUGUUUAAAAUUUUAAACAAUAUGGUUCUUAUGUUGCCUGUAACGGUUUCGUAUGCUCUAGUAGCUUUCUCUCUUUUGUCCAAGGUUUCUUGUCCUGCCAACAUGGAGAGGGACUUUAAUCAUUUGUCAAUCGCUGAUGAUGAGGAAGAAGGCUUGCCUGUUAACGCAUCUUCAGAUGCCACCAAGUCUACCUACGAAUUUUGUCUUGUCGACAUGUUCUUGACUUGCGGGACUGUGAAUUUUUAGUCCAUGCGAAACACUUUCGCAGAUUUGUGGCAUUCGCUCGGAGGGAUUAUAAUUACUGAUUUGGGAGCCAAACGUUUUCUGUUUCGGUUCUACAACAAAGUGGAUUUGGAUAGGGUUUUGAAUGGUGCCCCAUGGACUUUUAAUCGACACUUGCUGGUAUGGGGUCUGAUAAAAAAUGAUGAGGACCCGCUGCUGAUUCCUUUGCUAUACUCGGAUUUCUGGGUUCAGGUACAUAACUUGCCGGUCGGGUUAAUGUCUGCGGCAGUGGCCAAAUCAAUAGGGAAUUUCAUUGGUACUUUCAUUGAAUAUGACAUUAAGACUGUUCAUUUUGAUCCCAAUCAAUUUAUGAGACUGCAGGUUAAGUUGGAUAUUCGUACCUUUACGUAGAGGAAAGAAGUUGAUUGAUUCUAAUGGUAAUGUUCAUUAUGUCCAAUUCCAGAAUGAAAAACUUCUUGUGUUUUGCUAUACUUGCGGUCGCUUGGGACACACCGAUUCGUUCUGUAAAUUACAAUUGCACAAGUCUAAAAAAGAACUCAAGCCAGCUUGGGAUGAUCGAAUAAGGGUGCCGAUUCGCCGGAAAAUUCAGCAAACAACCAUGGCUGCAUGAUGAUAGAAAGUUUGAUGAUACUCCAAUCCAGGCAGAUAUUUCGGGAUGUGUGGGCGGGAAAUAUGGAGUUUUGAAAUCCCAACAAUUUUGAGCUUCCUUUUAUGGCACGAUAGUUAAUUUUAAUGUUAGUACUAAUCCCAUAGGCUUUAUGGAGACUGAUACAAAUUCUUUGAAUGGGUCCAAUACUGAUGGGCUUGACGAGGAUGUGGUCUUAGAAGAUGUGGGUGAAAUGAAGAAGAGGCCCCGAUGAUCCUUUUUGGUGAGGGUAUUAAAGUGGCUAGUGAUCCUUGAGGAGGAUCCUUUUUGCUGUAGAAUCAACGUGGUAGCUCUACUGUGGAUAUUGCCGUGAAGUACCUAUCGAAUUGGAGAGAAGUGUGUCUGCCACAUGAAGCUGCUGUGACGUCCAUUUCAGUGCUUCAUUGACAUGCACAUAAAGCACCAUCCAUUCACGCUCACAAUUUUGUUUGGAUUUGCUUCAUUGAUGGAUCAGUGUUCACAACCAUGGAUUUCAUUGGCUAUGCUUAUGUUAUUGAGGACAGUGAGGGACGGUUUCAACGUGCAGUGUCAGGGUUUCAGGAAGGCAAUGGCUCGGCGGUGGUGAUGGAGGCUAUAGCUCUUCGUUCCUGCCUUUCAUAUGCUCGUGAUUUUCUAUCUUUAAAUGGGUGUAUUUUUUCAAAUUGCCAAAAUCUUAUGAAUGCUCUCAAAUCCCAUUGUUUUAGAUAAUUUUGAAUUUGGUUUGAUUGUUCUUGAUUGUAAGCGAAUUUUAGAGUCUAGACAUGAUAUUACUGUCAGGUGGAUUCAGAGACAAGCUAAUAUGGAUGCUCACACUCUUGCUAGAGCAUCUAUACAUCAUGCUCGUUUCCAAAUUUGGGAUGAUGUUCGUCUUGUUAGUUAGAUUUUUUCCAUUGAGAUAAUGCAAUAUUAUUUCAUUUAAAACAAAUUUAAAACAAUAUAUAAAUUUUAUCAAACAAAUUUAAAUUAAUAACUCUAAAAAAUUUUAAUUUUUAGAUAUUAAAUGGUGUUAUUAGAUGUAAACUAAAUUUAUAUUGUUAUUUCAAUUUAAAUGUCUAAACAAAAUUCUCAAAUUCUUUUUUUGUUAAUAUUUUUUUGGAGAAAUAUAAUUCAUUAAUAAUAAAAGUAUUACAAAUACUCAAUUAGAUCAAAUAUAAAACUUAUUAUCAUAAUUAAUAAAAAGUUCGAUGAUCCUUCAACAAUAAAAGAAUUAUCUAUAUUUUUUUGAAUAGUAAAACUAAAAUUAAAAGAAACAGUUGGAGUUUUCCGCUUGAAAAAAACUUUGAUCGAUAUAAAUCUUCAUAGUAACAACUGAUCCUUUAAUUGAUUUGGACGAUAAAAUAACUUUUUCGAACUUUAUAUGCUUGGAUUGCUUUUUCAAAAAUUUGUUGCAUAUAACAUAUGCGGAUGAGUUUAAACCACUAUGGGUUAAUAGCAUGAAUGAAGGAACAGACUGUACUAUCAGGUUCCAUUGGUUGAAGAUACACAUCAGUAAAACAAGAUCGAAAUUCUCCAAUCAAAUAAAAUCAAAUGUCAUACCUUUUAAUAAUAAAUCUUCACAAGGAACUAAACCCUCUCAAAAGAAUGGGCAAAAAAACUCCAAAUAUGGAGACAAAACAAAUCAAUAACAAAAACAACAAUAACAAAAAUAUAUCUAUUAGAAGAAAAUGGAUUUGAGUUUAUUAAAAACAAAUAAAAGAUUAGGAGCCAGAAGAAAAAAAAAAAAAGUAUGGGGCUACUACUGAUUAACAAUGGCAACCUCAAACAAAAACUAUGAUUAAAUAAAUCAGAGAGAAAAGAGGAGGAGAGAAACCCUAAAACUAUCGAUUUUUUUUUUGUUAAUAUUUAAAAUGACGGUUUUUUUUUUUUUUUUUUUUUUUUUUGCGAAUGUUAAACAAAUCCCUAAAUAGUAUAGGUAAUAAAAUAAAAAAAAAUAUGUAUCACUUUAAUAAUAAUUUCAUGUUAAAAAAUGUUGGAAAAAUAGAGCUCUUGAAUAGGAAAAUCCGGUAUCGAAUUUUUGCUCUGCUAGGGUUUAUCACUUUAACAUUUAAAAAAAAAAAAAAACUAUUUUCAAGACAGUUCAUUUUCUAUUAUUUCUUUUUAAUAUUGAAUAUUAAUUAAAUAACUUACUUUUAAAAAUAUUUUUCCUUGACUUUUUUAAACACUUUAAAUAUAGAAAAAAUUCAAAAAUAUUUUUUAAAUAAAUUAUUUUCAAGAAAAAAUCUUGGAUAAUGGAAAUUUGGAAAAUUAGAUAAAUAAUAAUAAAACCUUAUGCACAGCAAACAUUUGUUAUAUGGUGUCCCAAGAAUAGUAAAACUUGUGGCUGAAUUUUGUAUUUCUUUUUUAGAUCACUCUCUAUCACGCUCUUAACAAUUCCCAUUUGCUGAAGUGGUCCCCAUAAAAGUAUUCUUGAUUGAGAUUUGAAUACGAAUUUCAAUUAAGUAAGCUUCAAGUUACAAACAUCAUCUUCACAAAAUUUCCUUCAUUGGUGAAGCAUUUAUCAUUUGGUAAGUUUUCUCAGAUUUAACACUAUGUUUGGAAUUGGGAGAUUUUAUGAUAGGAAGAAAAUUUUGAAUGGAAAAUAAGAAAAGAAAGCUAUUUUCCUCCUGCUUAAAUGUAAAUAAAAUUUGAAAGGAAAGAAAAUAUUACCAAAAUCCUUUCUGUCCCAUAUUUUAUUAAUCUCUCCAAAUUGGCGAGAAAAUAGGAGAUAAAUGUAUAAAAGGAUAGAAGUGUAAAUUUACAACAAUACAAUUUUCUUUCCUCCAUAUUUUAGACUUUUCUAAAUAAUAUAUAUAUAUAUAUAUUUUUUAUUUUUUUUUUUCCUUUCAAUCUAAACAUAAAAUGGAAAAUAAAGAAAAAAAGAGCUCUUGUUUUACUCGGCACAUGUACAAAAUAUAAGACAUCAAUGUGUUGAACAUGCAAAUCCCAUGCAUGUAUCUGCCAUGCAGGGAUUCAUAAUUAGCUCAACUGAAAAAUUGUUAAGAUCUUUCUUCAUUGUCUUUUUGUCAUAUAAAAAAACACGAGAAAAAUAAAAUAAAACAAGAAAAGGAAGCGCAUGCACAUGCCUGUAAAUGUAUAAUAUACAUCCAUCCAAAUGGGCAAAGAUUAGAUGCCUUCUCACCAUUUUUCCGCGCAUCCAAAACCGUAAGGGGCCACUCACACUUGAUGUGCAGGAUACUUAAAUCAGUUACGCAGCCAGAAAAUUAAAAUUAGAGAUAAAAAAAUUUUCAAGAGUUAACAAGAGUGAGAUUAAAAAUUUUAUUAUUUUAAAAGGAAAAAUAAAAAAUUUUAUUAUUUUUUAUUAUUAGACUAAUUUUAAAAGGUAAAAUAAUAUAUUUUCAUAUAUUAUUAGACUAAUUUUAUUUUAAAAUUUAAUAUUAUUUCUUCUAAGUAUUUUUUUAUGAAUAGAAAUUUUAAUAGAGAAUUAGAGAUCAUCCACUGGAUUUAAAAGUUAAAAUAUAUUUAUAAAUUAUUUCAUCUAUUACACUUAAAUUAUCAACUUGUAGCUUCUUCAUACAAAAUAAGGAGAUAAUUAAUUUAUCUUAAAUCUAUAAAAUUUUCAUUUGAAAUUAUUUUAAUAUUUAUUUUAUAAAAUAUUAUUAAGAGCGAAUGAAUAGUGAGAUCCAAUAAAGAAGAGUAAAAAAUUAAAAAUGUAAUAUACUCUUUUCUAAAUUAUAUAAAAAAAUGACACUUAAAAUAGAACAAAAAAAAAUCUUAAAAGUUAAACAGAAUAUCGGAAGUAUAAAUAAUAGAUUUUAUUUUUUAUUUUUUAAAAAUCGAAUUAAUCAGAGCAAUACUAACAAAAUAAUAUUGUAAAGUUACUUAGGACAUCCCUUCCUCUUAUCUCUCCGUGUGGUCGCUUUCAUUGGCUUCAUAAUCAUACACAUAUUCAUGGCCCACUUACGAAGCCAUCUCACAACCACAAAAUAUAAUUUUCAAAAGAAAAAUGACCGUUCGGACAGCUUGUUAAGUUUUUCCACACUUCUUCCUCACUUUCCCACUCUCUAUAACGGCUACAAUAGAAGGCUCUGGAACAAUCUACCUGUUUUAAGACGGCGGGACACGUGUAACCAAUCACAUGGGCUGCUUUUGCUCGAAAAUGGAGAAGAAUAAGCUGUAGUGUUACUCUUAGAUGUGAAUUAUUUGCUUCAAAUGAUGCUUUAGUUGUUUCUAGUGAAAAUAGAGCAAUAGUAAUUUUUUUUUUUUACCAUUUAAUAUGAUGUACAAUGAAUUUUUUACACUAUGUACUAUUAUGCAGCAGUUACAACAUUUUAAAGUCCAUCAAAUAGUAUAAUCCAUUAGAAAAUCCAAUAAAUUUCUCAUUGCUCUUUUGAAUAAUAUUUACUAUAUUUGUGCAUAUUAAUUAUUAAAAAAAAUUUAUUUACACCCGGUGUUUGGAUCUAUUUAUACAUCAAAUCAAUCACAAAUAAUAUUUUGAUUUAAUCAAAUGUAUUUCUAAUCAUAUAUUAAAAAAAGAUAAAAUAAUAAUUUUUUUGAUUGGUUUACUGAAUGAGACUACCCAUAUACUAAGUGUUGAUAAAAAUUUCCUUAAUUAUUAUAGAAAAGUUAGAAAUAAUUCAAUCGCUUUUCCUUAACUUACUUUUUUGCACUUAAUGUAAUAAAAAAAACUUCAAAACUUUAAUAAUGUAAAAUGAUUCUUACUAAAUUGUAUAGUUAAGUCUAAUAGGAUUGUUGAGACUUUGGUUCUUAAUUUAUGAAAUUUCAAUUUUUAUCCUAAAAAAAAAAAAACAAAGUAACAGGAAAGCUCAUAUAAAUGAACAUGCAAGAGAAAAAAAAAUCAUUUUUUAACUAAAGUAAAUUAUUGCAUACUUCCCUCCUAGAUUACUCUGAAAAAUAAAAAAUAAAAUACACAAAAUUAAAAAUAUACGAGCUUUGUUAACAGAUACAUAUUACGUACAUUUACGAUUACAUUCUUAGCAUAAUAUCAAAAUUUUCAAAAACAUUACAGUUCUUUUAUUCUAUUUACAUUGUAAGUAUCUCUCUACACAGAUUAUGCCAAAAAUACUUUUUGAAUAUCAGUUAAUCAGAUUUAAAAUAGAAUCAGGUGCAGGUGAUAUUACUUAAAAAAAUAAUAUUUCACUGUGCCACGGCAUAUAAGAUAAAAGUGUAAUCGGCAUAUAAGAAGGCACAAAAUCAAGAGAGUUGACAUGAAUGGACUGCUGUUGGGAGUGUGAGUUGGACGGAUUUGAAAUAAAGAUAAGAGGAAAGGCAUAGGUGGGACCUGUUUACUGUGCCACAGCAUGAACCGUGAUGUUUUUUGCCAGCUGGUGGACACGUGAUUCUUGAUUAGUUCAAUUACUGCAUUUGAUCAAACAUGGCCCCACUCUUUGAAUAUUUAAUUUAAGAAAAAAACCCAACCAGAACACCUCAUAUUUCCUGACUGAAAUGCUUGCUUGCUGCGGGCUACUACAAUAUAUAAGAUAUAUCUAUACUGAAACCCUUUAUCUUUAAUUGGCAUUAUUAAAAGAUUUUGUAACCUUACACCGUGGAAAUACUGGAAAUGACAAUUUUAACUCAUUUAAAUGUAAAAGUUAAUUAACAAAUUUAUUUUGGAUAAUUUAUACAAAAUAUGAAUAAAUAUUGUAUUUCUAAAAUAUAAGUCGUUUAAAGUAUUGCAUGCGAUUAAUGAAUCAAUUAAUUUCGCUAAAAAUUAUAUCACUCCGUCUCAAAAUUUAAGUUGUCUAAGGUGAUAAUUUUAUCACAAAAUAUAAGUCAUUUUGAAUAUUUUAAGAAAUUACAAAUGAUUUUUUUUCUUUCAACUGUAUCCUUAUUUAUAUUAGAUAUAAUACAACGAUGUGAGAUAAAAGUAACAAUGAGAGAUAAAUGAUAAUUUGUUCAAAUUACUCUUGAUUUUGUUAGAAAUUUAGAAAAAUUAAUUGCAUUUUUAAUUCUCGUAUAAAAAUCUUAAACGACUUAUAUUUUGGACAAAUAGAGUAAUAAACUCAACAAUAAUUUGAUUUAUGAGAAUUAAUUUAAACGAUCAAAUUAUCCUUAAUCUCAAAAUCAAGUUAUUGUAUUAUGAAUAAAGUUAAAAUUGGAAAAAAGAUUAUUUGUUAAAUAUGUUUUGAAAUCAAAUAGUUUUAUGAGUUAAAAAGAUUAGAAAUAAUCAUUUUUUAAAUUCAUUUGGUGUUAAAUUGGGAUGAUAAAUUAUCAAAAAAAAAAAAAAAAUAUAUAUAUAUAUAUAUAUUUGACAAACAGAUUGAAAGCUAGUUCUUUUGAAAGUUUACUGAGAACACAAAUUACAAGCUCAUAGUAGUUAGUAGCUUGAUUAAGGAAACCCAUGAAGGACAAAAUGACAGUGGCAAAUGCCUUUGAGACCAAAAGGCUUCAGCUUCAAUUUUUUAUAACGUAACAUUUAAUAUCUUUCUCUUUAUGAUUUUUAAAUUAUUGUAAUUGCUAUCAACAGUAUAAAGUAUAGAAAAUUCAUUAUAUAUAAUAUUGAAUAAAAAAAAAAAAAGGGUGAGAAAUGUCAUUAUUUAUAGAAUUAAUUCACACAAACAUAAAUGCGAAGCUUCAUUCUACCUUUUAGGUGCUACCAUUCACUGAAGGGGAACGCACGCAUCAUUGAAGCUCAACGCCUGUCUUUUGCACUUUUCAAACUGAAUCAUUUCAUUCGUGAAAUAAAUUGAUGGAUAAAGGGCAAUUGCCAAACAAUAUUAACGGCAAAAACAAACGAGUCUUUUUUUUUUUUCUUUUUCUUUUCUUUUCAUUAGAAUAUUUAAAGUAUUGGUUAGAGGUAUAAUUAUAAAAUAUAAUUGAUCUCAUAAUUAAUCUUUUCCUUUUCUUAAUAAUAAUCAUUAUAGUCUUGCUUUUGGUGUUAUAGUUGUUUUUUUUUUUUAAUAAUAAAAAAAUAAUGUAUUAUGUCAAUCGAAUGUGAUCUGAUUGGUAUUUCCAUUCACCUUGAGAAGUUUCAAAUUUUAGAUAGUUAACUAUCAGAGUUAUCGUCAAUUUUGCUUAUAAAACAACAAGAGAGCUACCUAUAUUAUGCAGCCCACAAAAAUUCUUUAUAAUAAAUUAAAAAAAUAUUAUUUUAUUAAAAUUGAUAUAUUAUAUUUGUUAUUUAAUAGUUUGAACUAGAAAAAUAAGCUACUAAAAUUCACACAGAUUUUCUUAAAUAUAAAUUUUUACUAUGAAAAAUAGAAAUCAAAGUCAGAAAACAGAAAUGAUACAAAAUAGACACGUAAUCAUAUUUGAUGAGCAUUUCUCAUAAUACACGUUAGCUUGUUUAGCUUGUUUCGUGUAAAUUGAUGAUCCCAUUCUGUUUCGACAUAAAUGGUAUCAUUGGUUAUUAUAAACAAUUUCAAAAAUUUUUGAGCUACCACCAUAAAUACAACUUGUAUGAUUUCAAUUUUCAAAUUUAAAAGUUAUCUAAUAUCUACUUUAUCAAUGGACCUACACCUUUCCAAAUUUCUUGUUAAUCUUAUGCAUUAGAAAAUUUAGCCAAAUAAAAUUGAUAUUAUAUAUCAAUUUUAUUUAUUUUUCAAUUUAAAAUCACAAGUUUAAUUAUCGGAAAAUGCAUAUACUAUGAAGAAAAAAUUUUUAUAAUCAACUAUCCAAAAGAGAUUAGUUUACACCAAUAUAGUAGAAGAAAAAUAGUGGAAGAACACGUGACGAUUCUAAUAUGAUAUACAUAAACUAAAAAUAUUUUAAAGGAGUCUUCACUUAUAAUUUUGUUUUCAAAAUUUAAUACUUGUAAUUUGUUUUAACCAACUAUUUACUAUUUUUAAUUGAUUUUGUAAACUCAAAACUCCAUUUAUUUUUCAAAAAAUAAUUUAUUUUUAAAAAAUAUUUUUAAAAGCAAAACAUACUUGAAAAUUUGAAAUAACACAUUUUCUAUUGUUUGGUUACAAUAUUGAAAAAUUGUUAAAAAAUAUUAAAGCUUUUAUAAGAUCGAAAAAAUUUAUAAUUAUAAAAAGUUUCACAUUUUAAAAUUUUAUUAUUUAAUACAACAUAAAUAUUUAUUACGUGCUUGAUUGUAAUUUGUAUCUAAGACUUAAUCAUAUUUUAUGGACCAAAGAUAUAUUUUGUAUAGAAUCCAGAUAGAAAUAAGAGAUUAUAUUCCUAAAUCCUUCGCUAACUCUCAAUGAACUAGCAAUCACUCCAAAAUACUUAUUGAAUUGGUAUUUCAAAUAUUUAUCUAAUAAAGAUUCCACCUACAACUCUAAUGAAAAUUCUUUACCUCUGUAUAAAAGAGGGAUCAAACUCCCUACUCACACUAUUUAGGCAAUGUAAUACCAAUAUAUUUCAUUCAAUUAUAAGUAUUUAUUAUUUAUUUACUGACUUAAACAUAAAAGUGAUUGCAGGCCUAGAUGAGACCUUUAUUAUUCGUUUAUGUCUUGCAGAUUUCUACGGACCUCUCUUUAUUUUUCCUUGUUCAUUUAUGUCUUACAGAUUUUUACAUAGGCGCUAUGGAUAGAUUUUUCUAAGUCUAUCAUUAUUAAAUAUGAGAAACAAUAUUAUAAAAAAAGAUAAAUUACGAUAUCUAUCGAUGACCGUGGUCGUGAAAAUAAUGAUUAAUUAAUAAUAAAUAUGUAUUUAUAAGUUUAUAAUAAAUUUAUCAGUAUCUGAAAAAUAUUUUUCUCUUUUAGAAAAAGAAAGUUAUAAAAAUGAUUUAGUUCUCUCUUUCUUAAGGAAAAUAUCAUCUGUUGCUAAUUUUCUUGAACACUUCAAACAUUAAAAAAAAAUCUAAAAAAUAUUAUUCAGACAAGUUAUUUCUCGAAAUUAAUGGAAUCUCAAUAUUAAUUUAUUAUUAUUUUUUCCAUUGAGAAAAAAAUAUAUUAGAUUUAUUCCACUAUUGAGAAUAAAGGAAAUCAUUUAAAAUAAGAAAGCUCAAAAAGUUAUAGCCGUAAUACUAAUAGCAUUAUUUCAAAUUUGUUUGACAUGAUGUAAUCAACCGAAAUGAUAAUUACAUUAUAUGAGUAAUUACAUUAUUUGAUUAGACUUUUUUUAAUAGCGUAGUAUAAUUGAGACUACGUGUAUAAUCUUCAUCACUUAAAUUGAUGUAAUACUCAUUACAUGAAAAAACACACAUAUUGUCUAUUACAUCAAGUAAAUGGAAUACCGAUUAUAUUAAGUCAUCCCAAUCAAAACUCUACCAUUCUAGAUUAUUUAGGCUGUGUUGGGUAAUAAAGUUUUGAGUGGCUUUUAAAGUUUUGACUGGUCAAAACGUUACUUAAAAAGUUGUUUGGUAACAUAGCGUUUGGACUAGCUUUUAGAGAUUAGAAUAACGUUUUGUGAAAAGUUAACUCACGUAACGUUUAGCUUUUAGCGUUUCAUGAAAAACUACUCAAACAGCUAACAACUAAACACUAUUAAAAUAGCAAAUAGCUACCAAAAUAGCUAAUUUUGCCGAACAUAUCCUUAAUACUACCACUUCACCACCACAACCACUAUCACCGCUUCACCACCACAGCACCACCUUAACACCCACCACAACCACUGCCACAAUUACUACUCCACCACCACCACCACCACUACUGUUCCAUCACUACUUCAACCACCAUUACCGCUCUGCAACGACAACCAUCACCAUUGUUCUACCAUCACCACUACUACCACCAUCACUGCUCCAUCACUAUCACCUCAACUACCACCACCGCUGCUGCUGCCUCAACUCCUACCAUCAUCGCUCCACCACCACUAUCACCACCAUCGCUUUACCACCACCACCAUGUGGUGGUGAUAUGAUUAGUGGUGAUGGUGUGCUAAUUAUAUUACAUAUUUACAAAAAAAAAAAAAAAGAACGAUGAUUAUAUUCCUAAAUUUUCUUGAUAAUAUUAUCAAACAUAGUAAUGAAAUCUUAAUUAAAUUACGUUUUUCAUCACAUUACUUCUUUAAUUACAUUAUAUUGCCUUACAUCAAACCAGACAUAGCGUUAGCAUGUAUAUCCUCAUACACAUCAAAACUUGACUCUAAUAUCUAUGAGAAAAAUGCACAGUUAAGCCCUUAAAUUUAAUCAGUUUUUCCAUUAAACUUUUAUUUAUGAAUAUUAAGUUUUUAAACUUUUAUUUUUUUUAAAAAAAUUAAACUCUAUUUAACCGAGAUUUAAACUUUUAUUUUUUUAAAUUAAACUCUUAUUUAAUUAUGAGUUAAACAAUUAUAAUCCCAUAUGUUAUACGCGGUUGAUGGGAAAACUUAAUCGAAUUGUUAAAUCUCUUAAACUUUUAUUUUUUGAAAAUUAAGUUUUUAAAUUUGUACUUUUGUUAAAGUGAGUAUUUAAAUUAUUUCCAUUAUCAGUGAUUUGAAUUUAUUAUUUACUCACUAUCGAUUUAGAACUUAAUUUUAACUUAAAUAAAAAUUGAAGGAUUCAAUAUUGAUAAAUGAAAUUGCAGGAGCUUAGUAGACAAAACUUGAAAAAUAAGAGGCUUAAGUACAUCUUUUACCAAAUAUAAUCAAGAGUUAAUUUACACUCACACAUAGGUGAGGAUAGGAUUAGGAUAGAAGUGUGGUAAGUGCCCGCGAACUUUGAGUUAUCCAUAUCUAUAUCUGUUUAGAGCUUUAAAAUCAAUUGUAUCUAUGUUAAAUCCGUUUAAAUACCUAUAUCAAAAUCUGUUUAAAAUUUUACUGUCCGAUCCAUUCAAAAUCUAUUUUAAAUACUUGUAUUUGAUGUUCAUAAAAUUUAAACCAUUUAAACACGAACUUAUUUAAAAAAGUAUCUUCCAUUGAUAAUGGAUAAAGUAUCAAGGAUACUCACAGUAAAACUCAUUUAAUAUAAUGGAUAACAAGUAACGAAUAUUCAAACUCAUUUAGUAAAACUCCUGAAUUCAAACGACAGGAUUUGCAAGUGAAGAGAGAUGGAACCUAAAACGGUUGGCUAUGUACUCAAUGUAGAUUCACUAACAAAGUACAACAAAUGCAAAUACCAAGUAAAAAGGAACAAAUGGUUAAGAAUUCAGACAAAGUCCUAACUUCAAAGUUCAAAGUUCAAACCAUAAAAUCAUUUCAGUAAGGAGAAAUCAAACUAAAACUUUUGAAUGUUAAAAUUUCAACUUUAACCACAGAACCAAAACCCUGUUAGCUAUGUACUAACACAAAGUGCAAGAAACACCGAGUACGAACUCAAGCACAGUAAGAUUGAGCUGGAUUGCCCAUAACCCAAAAACACUAGAAUGUGUCUGGUGUGGAGGGGUCCAGAAGCCAACUUAAAUAGAAGCAGAGGGACAACACUGGAAAUUAUGAUUUAAAAAAAAAAAAAAAAAAAAAACUAAAAAGCAAAGAGAGAAACAGACAAGAAAUAACCGUUGUAGGGGUGGCUUUUUGGGUUGGAUGCCAGGCUGACGCUUGAGCCCCCCUCAGAUGAUUCAGCUCACAUGGUCUAUCUGUACACUCUGGGUCCCACCCUCCACUUUCUCUCUCUACUACCCUCUUUGGAUUAGUUGUCAAAUGAUCCUUUUAUGUUAUCAUAUUACACACUUUCAUCCUAUCUAUUUCAAAGUUACUAACUUUAGUUAAUGAGAUUUAAUCUGCCAAAUGCAUAAAUUAAUAUCUAAAUUUUAUAAGAAGAGUCUAGUAGCACCUUUAAACGUUGAAAACUUCUUUUCGUAAAAUUAUAGCUAGUAAAUGCCUUAAUUUAAAAAACCGUAUUUAUUAAAUACUUAAACGUAUAUAAUUAUGUUUAUUAAAUAUUUAUCGGAUGAUUUAAAAUAUAAAAAUUUUAUUAUUUAAUAAAUUAUAUUAAAAGUUAUAUAAAAUGUUACACUUAUUGAAUAUAUUAUUUAGUAAUUGUUGUAAAAUUAAAAACCCUGUUUUUUUUUUUUUCAAAUUAAGUUGAUACUUAGUCUCAACUGUGCUUUUAUCCAUAAUUUUAAAUAAUUUAUUUGUAGAAACCCUAAAAACCAUAUAUUUUUCGUUGACAUAUCAUAAAAAUUAAAAUUAUUAAUUUCAAACUGUUUAAAUACUGGUAAAAUGUAAAAUAAUGCAAAUGGUGACAGUUUUUGCAACCAACUUUUUUUCUUGGAAAUUCUCUGUAUUACAAUCGUCUUUUAUAAUAUUUUUAUUAAUAUUAUUUUGUUCCAAACAUGCCCUUGUCUUAUCCAAAUAAUGCCCCGUACUCUCCUGCCCUUCUCUCUAUUCUUAUAAGGGCAGUGGCCUGUGGAUCAAAGACCACAGUCCCAAGAGAGAAGAGAAAGACAAAGCAAUUAAGCUCACAAGAGAGAAGCUCUUCUAUUUUCUAGAGUAAGAAAGAAGAAAGAAGACGAUGGCCAAGGAAGUAAGUGAAGAAACGCAAACUACCCAUGCAAAGGAUUAUGUUGAUCCACCACCUGCGCCACUGAUCGACAUGGCUGAAAUCAAGCUCUGGUCUUUCUACAGAGCUUUAAUAGCUGAGUUCAUAGCCACUCUCCUUUUCCUUUACAUAACUGUAGCCACUGUAAUUGGCUACAAGAAACAAACUGAUCCAUGUGGUGGAGUUGGUCUUUUGGGCAUUGCAUGGGCCUUUGGUGGCAUGAUCUUUAUCCUUGUUUACUGCACUGCCGGUAUAUCUGGUAAGUAAAAAAAAAAGGAACUAUUUCUCUAAGUUACUAGUACCCAAAUGGGUAUUUAUUAAGUUUUAGGUUUCUGUGAAGUUUCUUUGUGGAUUUGGUCAUUCAACUUGAAAAAUAACAAAACCCAUUUGUUUUCAAGACCUGUUUAAUAAUGGGUUUUCCUUAUUUUGGUUACAGGUGGUCAUAUUAACCCAGCAGUGACCUUUGGGCUGUUUUUAGCAAGAAAGGUGUCACUAAUUCGAGCCUUGGCUUACAUGGUGGCUCAGUGUUUAGGUGCCAUCUGUGGUGUAGGGUUGGUCAAAGCUUUUAUGAAGAAUCCAUAUAAUCAUCUUGGUGGUGGUGCUAACUCUGUAAAUACCGGCUAUAGCAAAGGAACUGCUUUGGGUGCUGAGAUCAUCGGCACUUUUGUUCUAGUCUACACUGUUUUCUCUGCAACUGACCCCAAGAGAAGUGCACGUGACUCACACGUUCCUGUAUGUUAUCAACCAUAGCCUAGUAUAGCUCUCCUCUUUCAUGUCAAAGAGUUCAAAUCUAAACUUUGUUUUGGUUAUGUUUGGUUGCAGAUUUUGGCUCCACUUCCAAUUGGGUUUGCAGUUUUUAUGGUUCACUUGGCUACCAUACCCAUUACUGGUACUGGUAUUAACCCAGCGAGGAGCUUCGGUGCUGCUGUUAUUUACAACAAUGAUAAAGUCUGGGAUGAUCAUGUAAGCCUCUUGAUAGUCAACCAGAAACUUAUUUUUCUUGAUUUUAUGGUUGUUUUGAAGUUGGUGCUUUUUAACAUAAAACAUCAGAAGUAGGUUAAUUUUCAAGAAUAUGUUUAUCUUCUUGAUAAAAUAAUUUAAUUUCCUUUUUAAUUAUUUUUUGGAUGGGCAGUGGAUUUUCUGGGUUGGACCGUUUGUUGGAGCAAUUGCAGCAGCUGCAUACCAUCAAUACAUACUGAGAGCAGCAGCUAUCAAAGCUUUGGGAUCUUUCCGCAGCAACCCCACCAACUAAAAUGAAAGAAAGAACGAAAGAAAGAAAAACAAGAAAAAAAAAAAAAACCAAAGGCUUUGUGUAGCUAUCUUUAGUCUCUAGUCUUUCUUUUUCUCUAUUUGUUUGUUUGUUGUGUGUAAUGAGAGGAUUAUGAUGAUGACCCUUCUUUCUUCUUUCUUUUUUUACUUCAUUUUUUCUUUUCUUAUUGUUCUUUUGUAUCAUUGUUAAUGAGUAGUGCUGUUCUUUUUUCUUUCUUUUGAUCAUAUUUAAUUGCUUUGUGCAGUGUAGAACGUUCUCUCUCAACACUCUUUUAAUAAUUAGCCACUAAAUAAACUACCAGCUAACUAAAUUUUUAUCCUCUCGACCUUCAUUACAGCGGUGCUAGUGAAUUUGUGAGUAGCGGUUAGGCCAUCUUCGGGAACAGUUUUUUCAUAUGGC